Molecule: small RNA, 77 nt
Filed under: Xanthomonas oryzae
Lineage: Bacteria; Pseudomonadati; Pseudomonadota; Gammaproteobacteria; Lysobacterales; Lysobacteraceae
Also listed under: 1 other name
Description: sX9
Rfam family: Xanthomonas sRNA sX9
Source: RNAcentral
AUGUACCGCGCGCACAUACCGGUUCUGAGUGUGCCGUGCACGCCCGCCUGAGGACUGCUUGCUAUGUCUGCUUGGCC